AUUCAUCAGCAUAGAUUGUGGAGCUCCUGAGGAUGUGACCUAUACUGAGUCCACAACAGGCAUAAAUUAUACUUCAGACGCAAAUUUGAUUAAUACUGGUGUGAGUAAGUCGAUAGAAACUAAUCUCAAACAACAGUAUCAGCGACAGAUGUGGAGCCUGAGAAGCUUCCCGGAAGGAAAAAGGAACUGUUACAAAAUAAGCGUCACAAGAGCCUCUAAGUAUCUCAUCCACACUACUUUUCUGUACGGAAAUUAUGAUGGCCGAAAUAUGUUACCACAGUUUGAUCUUCUUCUCGGACCUAACCGCUGGGAUACAGUCACUAUAGACGAUGCAUCAACUGACCAAUCCAAUGAGAUCAUACAUGUACCUUCAAUGAAUUAUGUGCAAAUCUGUCUGGUUGACACAGGCAACGGCACACCAUUUAUAUCAGCCAUAGAAUUCAGGACUUUGAAAAAGAAUACAUACGUCACUCAAUUCGGAUCAUUGCAACUUUACAAUUUCCUGCGCUGCGAUUUGGGUUCAACCAAAGUCCACAGGUACCCGGAUGAUAUUUAUGAUCGUUACUGGUAUAGUGGUUCUUCCUGGAACGCCUGUAACUUCGGCGAAAAUUGGAAACCACUAAAUGCCUCCAUUCCCGAUGAUUCUUUAAGUCAGACGGAUUACAAGCCCGGAGCAACUAUCAUGAGCACCGCAGUUGAACCACAAAAUGAUAGUGCCCCGUUGGUAAUAAGGUGGGAGCCAGAACAUGAAACUGACCAAUUCUAUGUGUACAUGCACUUCACGGAAAUUCUAGUGUUAACCACCAAUCAGACAAGACAAUUCAACAUCAUGAAUGGUGAAUCAUGGUUUCAAAAUUGUUCUCCAAUCUAUCAUGGAAUGAAUACUAUAUAUUCGAUAUCAGGCACCAGUGGGAAAGAAAUUAAAUUUUCCCUCGAGAGGACUGAAAAUUCAACCCUCCCUCCCAUCAUCAGUGCCAUUGAAAUUUACAGAGUAAUAGACUUACAGAAACCAGAAACAUUCCAAGGAGAUGUUGAUGCGAUUACUACCAUCAAGUCAGUUUAUGCGUUGAAAAGAGAUUGGCAAGGCGAUCCAUGCGCCCCUUCAGCCUAUUUGUGGAAUGGUCUCAAUUGUUCUGAUCACGGAAAUGAUUCUCCAAGAAUCACAACUCUGAAUUUAUCUUCCAGUGGAUU
Molecule: small RNA, 1191 nt
Filed under: Vigna angularis var. angularis
Lineage: Eukaryota; Viridiplantae; Streptophyta; Magnoliopsida; Fabales; Fabaceae
Description: Non-protein coding transcript
Source: RNAcentral